AGUAAAUAGAUACCCAGGUAGUCCACGCCGUAAACGAUGAGUACUAGGUGUAGGAGGUAUCGACUCCUUCUGCGCCGCAGUUAAACACAAUAAGUACUCCGCCUGGGAAGUACGGUCGCAAGAUUAAAACUCAAAGGAAUUGACGGGGGCCCGCACAAGCAGCGGAGCAUGUGGUUUAAUUCGAAGCAACGCGAAGAACCUUACCUAGACUUGACAUCUCCUGAAUAGUGUAGAGAUACAUGAAGCCCUUCGGGGUCGAGGAAGACAGGUGGUGCAUGGUUGUCGUCAGCUCGUGUCGUGAGAUGUUGGGUUAA
RNAcentral lists this ribosomal RNA (314 nucleotides) under uncultured bacterium. Its description in RNAcentral is "bacterial SSU rRNA". It matches the Rfam family "Bacterial small subunit ribosomal RNA", at positions 774 to 1083 of the family's 1533-position model. The record is from RNAcentral.